This 224-nucleotide long non-coding RNA is filed under the name Ananas comosus (pineapple). RNAcentral's name for it is "long non-coding RNA (ACOM_LNC031757)". Lineage: Eukaryota; Viridiplantae; Streptophyta; Magnoliopsida; Poales; Bromeliaceae. The record is from RNAcentral.
CAAUUUACCUCUCCAUUAAUGUUUUAUUCUCCUGAAAAUAUUUCUGAAAUUUUAAGAGGGUAAAAUAUAGAUUUUUCAAAGUCAAAAAGAAAAUUUAAAAAAUCAAAUAUUUAUAAGCAGGUUUUCUAUAAUUUAGUCUAAAAUUUAUUAUAAUUUUUUCCACAUAUAUACAAAGACUAAAUAUUAAUAUAUCGCUAACAUAAAUAUGAUGUAAUAUUUUACUA